This 478-nucleotide ribosomal RNA is filed under the name Anotogaster sieboldii. RNAcentral's name for it is "partial 16S ribosomal RNA". It matches the Rfam family "Bacterial large subunit ribosomal RNA", at positions 1923 to 2608 of the family's 2925-position model. Lineage: Eukaryota; Metazoa; Arthropoda; Insecta; Odonata; Cordulegastridae. The record is from RNAcentral.
UUUAACGGCCGCGGUAUAUUGACCGUGCAAAGGUAGCAUAAUCAUUAGUCUUUUAAUAGAGGGCUGGAAUGAAGGGUUUAACGAAGUACUUACUGUCUCAUUUAAUUUGGUGUUAAAAUUUACUUUUUCAGUCAAAAAGCUGAAAUAUUAUUGGAAGACGAGAAGACCCUAUAGAGCUUUAUAUUUAAUUAUUUAAUAAAUUUUUGAUAUAAUUAUUAUUUAUUAUUUAAUAAAAUAUUUUGUUGGGGUGACAAAAAUAUAUAAUUAACUUUUUUAUUUAUAUAACAUUGAUAUAUGAGAAAUAGAUCCAGUUUUACUGAUUAUUAGAAUAAGUUACCUUAGGGAUAACAGCGUAAUCUUCCUUUAGAGUUCAUAUUCACAGGGAGGCUUGCGACCUCGAUGUUGGAUUAAGAUUAUAAUUAGGUGUAGCCGCUUAAAAAAUAGGUCUGUUCGACCUUUAAAUUCUUACAUGAUCUGA